AGGACUAGAAUGAGCUCACAGAACUCA
Molecule: non-coding RNA, 27 nt
Filed under: Cricetulus griseus (Chinese hamster)
Lineage: Eukaryota; Metazoa; Chordata; Mammalia; Rodentia; Cricetidae
Source: RNAcentral